Molecule: long non-coding RNA, 334 nt
Organism: Psammomys obesus (fat sand rat)
Lineage: Eukaryota; Metazoa; Chordata; Mammalia; Rodentia; Muridae
Exons: 2
Source: RefSeq, a predicted model, not a curated record
CCACGCCCGGGCCGUGCUGGUGCUGCAGCUGGAAGUCGUCCACCACAUCUGGCAGCAUGGACCUAGGGGCAGAUCCCCAAUGCGGAUGUCCUCUUCCCAAAUCGCUGGAGAACCCACUCCCACAGUGGGGUGCUCAGCACAGCAGAGACCUGUGAGUAGACAGCAUCAUCCGACCAGGGCCCUGAAGUCCACAACUGCUCCCAGAUCUCACAGCCCUUGCUUUGACACCCAGCCUCGGACUGUCUGGUUUGAACCAGUAACUAUCAACUUUGAGCCUGGGCCCCAACUCCACCCUCUGCUGGAAUGAGACUAAAAUAUAACCGUUAGAACUUUA